GCAUGUCCAGAUUGCUGGUCCACAGAUACAAUGCUUGCAUUACUAGUAAACCACUGACCAGAUACUUGAUCACUUAGACCUUCUAUGCUGAAGUUAAGACCACUUCCUAGGUGAAGAGUUGGAUUCUGAGGAUGCAAAUGAGCACCAACAAGAAUCACCAUAUAAUCAGAGUUCUUUGGUUCAUUGGCAAAACCUACUCGCACAAGAGCUCUACCAUAACUUAUUGCUUUGAGAUGGACAUUUCCAG
RNAcentral lists this unclassified non-coding RNA (247 nucleotides) under Hevea brasiliensis (rubber tree). The record is from RNAcentral. Lineage: Eukaryota; Viridiplantae; Streptophyta; Magnoliopsida; Malpighiales; Euphorbiaceae.